GAUGAAGAACGUAGCGAAAUGCGAUACUUGGUGUGAAUUGCAGAAUUCAGUGAAUCAUCGAGUCUUUGAACGCACAUUGCGCCCCCUGGUAUUCCGGGGGGCAUGCCUGUCCGAGCGUCAUUGCCGCCCUCAAGCACGGCUUGUGUGUUGGGCCCCCGCCCCCCGGCUUCGGGGGGCGGGCCCGAAAGGCAGCGGCGGCACCGCGUCCGGUCCUCGAGCGUAUGGGGCUUCGUCACCCGCUCCGUAGGCCCGGCCGGCGCCCGCCGGCGACCCCAAUCAAUCUUUCCAGGUUGACCUCGGAUCAGGUAGGGAUACCCGCUGAACUUAAGCAUAUCAAUAAGCGGAGGA
RNAcentral lists this unclassified non-coding RNA (348 nucleotides) under soil metagenome. RNAcentral describes it as "partial contains 5.8S ribosomal RNA, internal transcribed spacer 2, and large subunit ribosomal RNA". The stretch from base 1 to 120 matches the Rfam family "5.8S ribosomal RNA", at positions 35 to 154 of the family's 154-position model. The record is from RNAcentral.